RNAcentral lists this transfer RNA (87 nucleotides) under Cordylochernes scorpioides. Its description in RNAcentral is "tRNA-Tyr". It matches the Rfam family "tRNA". From Rfam's summary of the family: Transfer RNA (tRNA) molecules are approximately 80 nucleotides in length. Their secondary structure includes four short double-helical elements and three loops (D, anti-codon, and T loops). Lineage: Eukaryota; Metazoa; Arthropoda; Arachnida; Pseudoscorpiones; Chernetidae. The record is from RNAcentral.
CCCUCGAUAGCUCAGUUGGCAGAGCGAAGGACUGUAGAUGUUACAACGGUGAUCCUUAGGUCGCUGGUUCAAAUCCGGCUCGAGGGA